RNAcentral lists this unclassified non-coding RNA (354 nucleotides) under fungal sp. RNAcentral's name for it is "partial internal transcribed spacer region". The stretch from base 1 to 46 matches the Rfam family "Eukaryotic small subunit ribosomal RNA", at positions 1786 to 1831 of the family's 1831-position model. Lineage: Eukaryota; Fungi. The record is from RNAcentral.
AAGUCGUAACAAGGUUUCCGUAGGUGAACCUGCGGAAGGAUCAUUAACACUUUGUUAUCACCAAUACAAACCAAAUGUGAACUGUAACGUCCCUAUCCAUGAGAACAGCCAAGGAUGUUGAGCUCGUGCGGUAGACAAUACCCUUGCUCCAGUAGUCAUUCAAUUGCCUUCGGUCUUUUGAUUGGCGAACAGGCCUAUAUUCACCAAUUUUAACCCUAUAAUUCAACUAUUCAGUUUGUCUAAUCUUCAUAAAACACUUGCAUUGAGAACCUCAAUAUGAAAAUAUUAAGGUAGUUGAUCAAGUUGGAUUUACGAAAUAUUGAACAACUCUUAGCAAUGGAUAUCUUGGGUCAU